RNAcentral lists this ribosomal RNA (507 nucleotides) under uncultured bacterium. Its description in RNAcentral is "partial 16S ribosomal RNA". The stretch from base 21 to 331 matches the Rfam family "Bacterial small subunit ribosomal RNA", at positions 48 to 357 of the family's 1533-position model. The record is from RNAcentral.
GACGAACGCUGGCGGCGUGCUUAACACAUGCAAGUCGAACGGAAAGGCCCUGCUUUUGUGGGGUGCUCGAGUGGCGAACGGGUGAGUAACACGUGAGUAACCUGCCCUUGACUUUGGGAUAACUUCAGGAAACUGGGGCUAAUACCGGAUAGGAGCUCCUGCUGCAUGGUGGGGGUUGGAAAGUUUCGGCGGUUGGGGAUGGACUCGCGGCUUAUCAGCUUGUUGGUGGGGUAGUGGCUUACCAAGGCUUUGACGGGUAGCCGGCCUGAGAGGGUGACCGGCGGUAGGGGGAACGGACUAAGACCAAAGGGCGAGCGGGGGGCGGCAGGGAAGAAUGUAGCACAAGGGGAGGGAGCGGGACGCCGCACGGGGGUGUGGGGGAUGGCGGCCCGAGGUUUGUAAGCCGACGUCGGCGGUGAAGGAGGGUGAGUGAUGGUAAUGGGAAAAGAAGCACCGGAUAACUACGGGCAAGGCGCCGGGGUAAUAGAUAGAAGCACACUUUUGAAC